RNAcentral lists this ribosomal RNA (379 nucleotides) under uncultured cyanobacterium. RNAcentral describes it as "bacterial SSU rRNA". It matches the Rfam family "Bacterial small subunit ribosomal RNA", at positions 377 to 770 of the family's 1533-position model. Lineage: Bacteria; Bacillati; Cyanobacteriota. The record is from RNAcentral.
GAAAGCCUGACGGAGCAAUACCGCGUGAGGGAAGACUGCCUAUGGGUUGUAAACCUCUUUUUCCAGGGAGGAAUCAAUGACGUGUACCUGAAGAAUAAGCAUCGGCUAACUCCGUGCCAGCAGCCGCGGUAAGACGGAGGAUGCAAGUGUUAUCCGGAAUCACUGGGCGUAAAGCGUCUGUAGGUGGUUUAAUAAGUCAACUGUUAAAUCUUGAGGCUCAACUUCAAAAUCGCAGUCGAAACUAUUAGACUAGAGUAUAGUAGAGGUAAAGGGAAUUUCCAGUGGAGCGGUGAAAUGCGUAGAUAUUGGAAAGAACACCGAUGGCGAAAGCACUUUACUGGGCUAUUACUAACACUCAGAGACGAAAGCUAGGGUAGCA